UAGAGUUUGAUCAUGGCUCAGAUUGAACGCUGGCGGCAGGCCUAACACAUGCAAGUCGAGCGGAAACGAGAAUAGCUUGCUAUUCGGCGUCGAGCGGCGGACGGGUGAGUAAUGCCUGGGAAAUUGCCCUGAUGUGGGGGAUAACCAUUGGAAACGAUGGCUAAUACCGCAUAAUAGCUUCGGCUUAAAGAGGGGGACCUUCGGGCCUCUCGCUUCAGGAUAUGCCCAGGUGGGAUUAGCUAGUUAGUGAGGUAAAGGCUCACCAAGGCGACGAUCCCUAGCUGGUCUGAGAGGAUGAUCAGCCACACUGGAACUGAGACACGGUCCAGACUCCUACGGGAGGCAGCAGUGGGGAAUAUUGCACAAUAGGCGCAAGCCUGAUGCAGCCAUGCCGCGUGUAUGAAGAAGGCCUUCGGGUUGUAAAGUACUUUCAGCAGUGAGGAAGGGUGUGUAGUUAAUAGCUGCAUACUUUGACGUUAGCUGCAGAAGAAGCACCGGCUAACUCCGUGCCAGCAGCCGCGGUAAUACGGAGGGUGCGAGCGUUAAUCGGAAUUACUGGGCGUAAAGCGCAUGCAGGUGGUUUGUUAAGUCAGAUGUGAAAGCCCGGGGCUCAACCUCGGAACCGCAUUUGAAACUGGCAGGCUAGAGUACUGUAGAGGGGGGUAGAAUUUCA
Molecule: ribosomal RNA, 673 nt
Filed under: uncultured Vibrionaceae bacterium
Lineage: Bacteria; Pseudomonadati; Pseudomonadota; Gammaproteobacteria; Vibrionales; Vibrionaceae
Description: bacterial SSU rRNA
Rfam family: Bacterial small subunit ribosomal RNA
Source: RNAcentral